CGAUUGCGAAGGCAGCUUUCUGGAUCAUUACUGACACUGAGGAACGAAAGCAUGGGUAGCGAAGAGGAUUAGAUACCCUCGUAGUCCAUGCCGUAAACGAUGUGUGUUAGACGUUGGAAAUUUAUUUUCUGUGUCGCAGCGAAAGCAAUAAACACACCGCCUGGGGAGUACGACCGCAAGGUUAAAACUCAAAUGAAUUGACGGGGACCCGCACAAGUAGUGGAGCAUGUGGUUUAAUUCGAAGAUACGCGCAGAACCUUACCAACACUUGACAUGUUCGUCGCGACUUUAAGAGAUUAAAGUUUUCGGUUCGGCCGGACGAAACACAGGUGCUGCAUGGCUGUCGUCAGCUCGUGUCGUGAGAUGUUGGGUUAAGUCCCGCAACGAGCGCAACCCUCACUUUUAGUUGCCAUCAUUUAGUUGGGCACUCUGAAAGAACUGCCAGUGAUAAGCUGGAGGAAGGUGGGGAUGACGUCAAGUCCUCAUGGCCCUUACGUGUUGGGCUACACACGUGCUACAAUGGCAUUUACAAUAGGAAGCAAGACGGCGACGUUAAGCAAAUCCUAAAAAAAUGCCUCAGUUCGGAUUGUACUCUGCAACUCGAGUACAUGAAGCUGGAAUUACUAGUAAUCGCGGAUCAGCGCGCCGCGGUGAAUACGUUCCCGGGUCUUGUACACACCGCCCGUCACACCAUGGGAGUUGGUUCUACCUUAAGGCAAAGUUUAAUACCUUUGACCACGGUAUAGUCAGCGACUGGGGUGAAGUCGUAACAAGGUAGCCGUAGGGGAACCUGCGGCUG
RNAcentral lists this ribosomal RNA (799 nucleotides) under marine metagenome. Its description in RNAcentral is "bacterial SSU rRNA". It matches the Rfam family "Bacterial small subunit ribosomal RNA", at positions 710 to 1520 of the family's 1533-position model. The record is from RNAcentral.